RNAcentral lists this ribosomal RNA (499 nucleotides) under uncultured bacterium. Its description in RNAcentral is "bacterial SSU rRNA". It matches the Rfam family "Bacterial small subunit ribosomal RNA", at positions 28 to 524 of the family's 1533-position model. The record is from RNAcentral.
GAUGAACGCUAGCGGGAGGCUUAACACAUGCAAGUCGAGGGGUAACAGAGUAGUUUACUAUUGCUGACGACCGGCGGACGGGUGCGUAACGCGUAUGCAACUUACCUAUUACUAGUGGAUACCCUUUGGAAACGAAGAAUAAUACACUAUGUGCUUGGUUAGCGAAUGUUAAUUAAAGUAAAGGUUACGGUAAUAGAUGGGCAUGCGUCAGAUUAGUUAGAUGGUGGGGUAACGGCUCACCAUGGCGAUGAUCUGUAGGGGGCCUGAGAGGGCGAACCCCCACACUGGUACUGAGACACGGACCAGACUCCUACGGGAGGCAGCAGUGAGGAAUAUUGGACAAUGGAGGGAACUCUGAUCCAGCCAUCCCGCGUGCAGGAAGACGGCCUUAUGGGUUGUAAACUGCUUUUUAUAUAGGAAUAAACGUAUUUUCGUGAAGAUAUUUGAAUGUACUAUAUGAAUAAGCACCGGCUAACUCCGUGCCAGCAGCCGCUGUAAG